Molecule: ribosomal RNA, 253 nt
Filed under: uncultured bacterium
Lineage: Bacteria
Description: partial 16S ribosomal RNA
Rfam family: Bacterial small subunit ribosomal RNA
Source: RNAcentral
UACAGAGGUCUCAAGCGUUGUUCGGAAUCAUUGGGCGUAAAGAGCGUGUAGGCGGCUCGAUAAGUCUGCUGUGAAAGUCCAGGGCUCAACCCUGGAAGGCCGGUGGAAACUGUCGGGCUAGAGUCCGGAAGAGGCGAGUGGAAUUCCCGGUGUAGCGGUGAAAUGCGCAGAUAUCGGGAGGAACACCAAUGGCGAAGGCAGCUCGCUGGGACGGUACUGACGCUGAGACGCGAAAGCGUGGGGAGCAAACAGG